This 500-nucleotide ribosomal RNA is filed under the name uncultured bacterium. Its description in RNAcentral is "partial 16S ribosomal RNA". It matches the Rfam family "Bacterial small subunit ribosomal RNA", at positions 30 to 523 of the family's 1533-position model. The record is from RNAcentral.
AUUGAACGCUGGCGGAAUGCUUUACACAUGCAAGUCGAACGGCAGCACGGACUUCGGUCUGGUGGCGAGUGGCGAACGGGUGAGUAAUGUAUCGGAACGUGCCCAGUCGUGGGGGAUAACGUAGUGAAAAUUACGCUAAUACCGCAUACGAUCUAUGGAUGAAAGCGGGGGAUCGCAAGACCUCGCGCGAUUGGAGCGGCCGAUAUCAGAUUAGGUAGUUGGUGGGGUAAAGGCCCACCAAGCCAACGAUCUGUAGCUGGUCUGAGAGGACGAGCAUCCACACGUGAACUGAGACACGGUCCAGACUCCUACGGGGGGCAGCAGUGGGGAAUUUUGGACAAAGGGCGAAAGCCUGAUCCAGCCAUUCCGCGUGCAGGAUGAAGGCCCUCGGGUUGUAAACUGCUUUUGUACAGAACGAAAAGGUUUCUACUAAUACUAGGAGCUCAUGACGGUACUGUAAGAAUAAGCACCGGCUAACUACGUGCCAGCCGCCGCGGUAA